This 253-nucleotide ribosomal RNA is filed under the name uncultured bacterium. Its description in RNAcentral is "partial 16S ribosomal RNA". It matches the Rfam family "Bacterial small subunit ribosomal RNA", at positions 524 to 776 of the family's 1533-position model. The record is from RNAcentral.
UACGGGGGGAGCAAGCGUUGUUCGGAUUUACUGGGCGUAAAGGGCGCGUAGGCGGUAGCACAAGUCAGUUGUGAAAUCUCCGGGCUUAACUCGGAAAGGUCAACUGAUACUGUGCGACUAGAGUGCAGAAGGGGAAACUGGAAUUCUCGGUGUAGCGGUGAAAUGCGUAGAUAUCGAGAGGAACACCUGCGGCGAAGGCGGGUUGCUGGGCUGACACUGACGCUGAGGCGCGAAAGCCAGGGGAGCGAACAGG